This 245-nucleotide unclassified non-coding RNA is filed under the name plant metagenome. RNAcentral describes it as "partial contains small subunit ribosomal RNA and internal transcribed spacer 1". The stretch from base 1 to 46 matches the Rfam family "Eukaryotic small subunit ribosomal RNA", at positions 1786 to 1831 of the family's 1831-position model. The record is from RNAcentral.
AAGUCGUAACAAGGUUUCCGUAGGUGAACCUGCGGAAGGAUCAUUAUCGAGUUAGGGUCUCUCACGGCCCGAUCUCCCAACCCUUGUGUUUAAUCAUCCACGUUGCUUCGGCAGGCCCGUCCUCCCCUCUGGGGGCGGGGGACCGCCGGACUCGUCACAGAGUCUGGCCCGCGCCUGUCGGUAGCCCAACUUCAAAACUCUUGAUUAAUCGUGUCGUCUGAGUUUACAAACAAAAUAAAACAAAA